GUGCCCGCUUUGGCAGCACAUAUACUAAAAUUGGAAUGAUACAGAGAAUAUUAGCCUGGCCCCUGUGCAAGGAUGACACCCAAAAAUAUAUUAAAGCCAGUUUUGU
This 106-nucleotide small nuclear RNA is filed under the name Neogale vison (American mink). The record is from RNAcentral. Lineage: Eukaryota; Metazoa; Chordata; Mammalia; Carnivora; Mustelidae.